RNAcentral lists this unclassified non-coding RNA (390 nucleotides) under soil metagenome. RNAcentral's name for it is "partial contains 5.8S ribosomal RNA, internal transcribed spacer 2, and large subunit ribosomal RNA". The stretch from base 2 to 121 matches the Rfam family "5.8S ribosomal RNA", at positions 37 to 154 of the family's 154-position model. The record is from RNAcentral.
GUGAAGAACGCAGCGAAAUGCGAUACUUGGUGUGAAUUGCAGAAUCCCGUGAACCAUCGAGUCUUUGAACGCAAGUUGCGCCCGAAGCCACUAGGCCGAGGGCACGCCUGCCUGGGCGUCACACGCCGUUGCCCCCCCAUCUACUCCUUCGGGAUUGCGGGGGGGCGGAUGAUGGCCUCCCGUGCGCCUAGCCGCGCGGUUGGCAUAAAUACCAAGUCCUCGGCGACGCACGCCACGACAAUCGGUGGUUGCGAAACCUCGGUUGCCCGUCGUGUGCGUUCGUCGCGCAUCGAGGGCUCGAAAAAAUGCUCGGCUCCGGCUGGGCUUUCAACGCGACCCCAGGUCAGGCGGGGUUACCCGCUGAAUUUAAGCAUAUCAAUAAGCGGAGGA